This 443-nucleotide ribosomal RNA is filed under the name uncultured bacterium. RNAcentral describes it as "partial 16S ribosomal RNA". It matches the Rfam family "Bacterial small subunit ribosomal RNA", at positions 338 to 795 of the family's 1533-position model. The record is from RNAcentral.
CCUACGGGAGGCAGCAGUGGGGAAUAUUGGACAAUGGGGGGAACCCUGAUCCAGCGACGCCGCGUGAGUGAAGAAGUAUUUCGGUAUGUAAAGCUCUAUCAGCAGGGAAGAAAGAAAUGACGGUACCUGACUAAGAAGCCCCGGCUAACUACGUGCGCGCAGCCGCGGUAAUACGUAGGGGGCAAGCGUUAUCCGGAUUUACUGGGUGUAAAGGGGGCGUAGACGGCGAUGCAAGUCUGAAGUGAAAGGCGGGGGCCCAACCCCUGGGCUGCUUUGGAACCUGUAUGGCUGGAGUGCAGGAGAGGUAAGUGGAAUUCCUAGUGUAGCGGUGAAAUGCGUAGAUAUUAGGAGGAACACCAGUGGCGAAGGCGGCUUACUGGACUGUAACUGACGUUGAGGCUCGAAAGCGUGGGGAGCAAACAGGAUUAGAUACCCCAGUAGUC